Molecule: ribosomal RNA, 459 nt
Filed under: uncultured bacterium
Lineage: Bacteria
Description: partial 16S ribosomal RNA
Rfam family: Bacterial small subunit ribosomal RNA
Source: RNAcentral
CCUACGGGGGGCAGCAGUGAGGAAUAUUGGUCAAUGGGCGCGAGCCUGAACCAGCCAAGUCGCGUGAGGGAAGACGGUCCUAUGGAUUGUAAACCUCUUUUGUCGGGGAGCAAAAGACGCCACGCGUGGCGUUCCGAGAGUACCCGAAGAAAAAGCAUCGGCUAACUCCGUGCCAGCAGCCGCGGUAAUACGGAGGAUGCGAGCGUUAUCCGGAUUUAUUGGGUUUAAAGGGUGCGCAGGCGGAAGAUCAAGCCAGCGGUAAAAUUGAGAGGCUCAACCUCUUCGAGCCGUUGAAACUGGUUUGCUUGAGUGAGCGAGAAGUAUGCGGAAUGCGUGGUGUAGCGGUGAAAUGCAUAGAUAUCACGCAGAACUCCGAUUGCGAAGGCAGCAUACCGGCGCUCAACUGACGCUCAUGCACGAAAGUGUGGGUAUCGAACAGGAUUAGAUACCCUAGUAGUC